CGCAACUAUUCAUAAACUUUAGCAUUUUGUUCGCAGCUGCGCGGCGCAGCUUUGGAAUUCAGAAAUCGCCACACCAACAAUGUUCCGCUACCUUCUCGUCUCCUUCUCUACGAACGACAACACACCUGCAAAAUCCCCACACACACACACACACACACAAUGGCAAAUGCAAACACAGAGAGCCAAUGUGAGAGAGAGAGCGUACCACAGCCACUGAGCCGCUCCCUCGACUUGAAGUGACAGCAACAACUUUUCCUCUGAUUACUUAGGCUGGGCUUUGGCAUACCAAAACGAAAACUAACUAGGAAUGGAAUUACCAAAGAUCGGCGCUAACUUGACACUUUUCGAAACUUGGAAACACAAAAAAAAGUGGGCUAGUACCUUGUCACUCCUACGUCACUAAAUGUGCGUUUAACAAUUUAAGUAUGUAGAUUUUUACAGAGGCGGAUCUGCGGCUGCUAAUUGGGGGAUCACUUUGCCCCCUUAUUCCCUUAAAUUGUGUUUCCUGUUUUUUUUAUUAUUUAUUUGUUGAAAAGAGAGGAAACAGAUGAUUUUUAAACUCCCUACCAUAUGAUAGGGUCCGUCCCUGUACGUAUUUAUAUCUAAAUAUAUAUUUAAAAUAAAUGUUUCUGCUUUGAG
Long non-coding RNA from Drosophila willistoni, 639 nucleotides. RefSeq lists it as uncharacterized. The record is from RefSeq and is a predicted model, not a curated record. The transcript has 3 exons. Lineage: Eukaryota; Metazoa; Arthropoda; Insecta; Diptera; Drosophilidae.